Molecule: ribosomal RNA, 379 nt
Filed under: uncultured bacterium
Lineage: Bacteria
Description: bacterial SSU rRNA
Rfam family: Bacterial small subunit ribosomal RNA
Source: RNAcentral
UAAUACGGAGGGGGCAAGCGUUAUUCGGAUUUACUGGGCGUAAAGGGUGCGUAGGCUGUCGCGCAAGUCUGAUGUGAAAUCUUCACCACUCAACGGGAAGAGGUCAUUGGAAACUGCGCGACUUGAGUUUGGUAGAGGCUAGCGGAAUUCCUGGUGUAGCGGUGGAAUGUGUAGAUAUCAGGAAGAACACCUGUGGCGAAGGCGGCUAGCUGGGCCAAUACUGACGCUGAGGCACGAAAGCGUGGGGAGCAAACGGGAUUAGAUACCCCGGUAGUCCACGCCGUAAACGGUGCACACUAGGUGUGGGGGGAUAUCGACCCCCUCCGUGCCGACGUUAACACAUUAAGUGCCCCGCCUGGGGAGUACGGCCGCAAGGCUA